RNAcentral lists this ribosomal RNA (497 nucleotides) under uncultured bacterium. RNAcentral describes it as "partial 16S ribosomal RNA". It matches the Rfam family "Bacterial small subunit ribosomal RNA", at positions 28 to 507 of the family's 1533-position model. The record is from RNAcentral.
GAUGAACGCUGGCGGCGUGCCUAAUACAUGCAAGUCGAGCGAACGGACGAGAAGCUUGCUUCUCUGAUGUUAGCGGCGGACGGGUGAGUAACACGUGGAUAACCUACCUAUAAGACUGGGAUAACUUCGGGAAACCGGAGCUAAUACCGGAUAAUAUUUUGAACCGCAUGGUUCAAAAGUGAAAGACGGUCUUGCUGUCACUUAUAGAUGGAUCCGCGCUGCAUUAGCUAGUUGGUAAGGUAACGGCUUACCAAGGCAACGAUGCAUAGCCGACCUGAGAGGGUGAUCGGCCACACUGGAACUGAGACACGGUCCAGACUCCUACGGGAGGCAGCAGUAGGGAAUCUUCCGCAAUGGGCGAAAGCCUGGCGGAGCAAAGCCGCGUGAGUGAUGAAGGUCUUCGGAUCGUAAAACUCUGUUAUUAGGGAAGAACAUAUGUGUAAGUAACUGUGCACAUCUUGACGGUACCUAAUCAGAAAGCCACGGCUAACUACGUG